RNAcentral lists this ribosomal RNA (353 nucleotides) under uncultured bacterium. RNAcentral's name for it is "bacterial SSU rRNA". It matches the Rfam family "Bacterial small subunit ribosomal RNA", at positions 72 to 422 of the family's 1533-position model. The record is from RNAcentral.
AAGGGGAGCAAUCCUCUGAGUAAAGCGGCGCACGGGUGAGUAACACGUGGGUAAUCUACCCUGAAGUGGGGAAUAACACCGGGAAACCGGUGCUAAUACCGCAUAUGAUCACGGUGUUUGCGGACACAGGGAUGAAAGGAGCAAUUCGCUUCAGGAGGAGCCCGCGGCUGAUUAGCUAGUUGGUGAGGUAAUGGCCCACCAAGGCUACGAUCAGUAUCCGGUCUGAGAGGACGGUCGGACACACUGGAACUGAGACACGGUCCAGACUCCUACGGGAGGCAGCAGUGGGGAAUUUUUCGCAAUGGGGGCAACCCUGACGAAGCAACGCCGCGUGGAUGAUGAAGUAUCUCGGU